RNA transcript from Lagenorhynchus albirostris (white-beaked dolphin), 1823 nucleotides. It is a transcript of the gene named adenosine deaminase, with no coding region annotated. The transcript is spliced from 12 exons. Lineage: Eukaryota; Metazoa; Chordata; Mammalia; Artiodactyla; Delphinidae. The record is from RefSeq and is a predicted model, not a curated record.
AAGAGCUUGGCGGGCCGCGAUCACUGCAGGCCCCCGGGAAAGCAGACCGGCCAUCGACCCAGCGGGACCACGGAUCGGCGGAGGGAGCAGCGCCGGGGUGCACGCUUGGCACCAUGGCCCAGACGCCAGCUUUCGACAAGCCCAAAGUAGAACUGCACGUCCAUCUGGAUGGAGCCAUCAAGCCUGAAACCAUCUUAUAUUAUGGCAGGAAGCGGGGCAUCACCCUCCCUGCCGACACACCAGAGGAGCUGCAGGACAUCAUCGGCAUGGACAAGCCGCUCAGCCUCCCGGGCUUCCUGGCCAAGUUCGCCUACUACAUGCCCGCCAUCGCGGGCUGCCGGGAGGCCAUCAAAAGGACUGCCUAUGAGUUUGUGGAGAUGAAGGCCAAGGAGGGCGUGGUGUACGUGGAGGUGCGCUACAGCCCGCACCUGCUGGCCAACUCCAAAGUGGAGCCGAUCCCCUGGAACCAGGCUGAAGGGGACCUCACCCCGGAUGAGGUGGUGUGUCUAGUGGACCAGGGCCUGCAAGACGGAGAGCGGGACUUCGGGGUGAAGGUGCGGUCCAUCCUGUGCUGCAUGCGCCACCAGCCCAACUGGUCCCCCGAGGUGGUGGAGCUGUGUAAGAAGUACCGGCAGCAGACCGUGGUGGCCAUCGACCUGGCCGGAGAUGAGACCAUCCAAGGCAGCACCCUCUUCCCUGAACAUGUGCAGGCCUACGCGGAGGCCGUGAAGAGCGGCGUCCACCGCACGGUCCACGCUGGGGAGGUGGGCUCGGCCGAGGUGGUGAGAGAGGCCGUGGACGUGCUCAAGACCGAGAGGCUGGGGCACGGCUACCACACUCUGGAGGACCCGGCCCUCUACAACAGGCUGCGGCAGGAAAACAUGCACUUCGAGGUCUGCCCCUGGUCCAGCUACCUCACCGGCACCUGGAAGCCAGGCACGGAGCAUGCAGUCGUUCGGUUCAAAAACGAUCAGGCUAAUUACUCCCUCAACACGGAUGACCCACUCAUCUUCAAGUCCACCCUGGACACUGAUUACCAGAUGACCAAACAGGACAUGGGCUUCACUGAAGAGGAGUUUAAGAGACUGGCCACUCAGAGACCCCAGGAUGAGCCCUUGAUUACCGUGGUUCUGACAUCCCAAGUCUGUCCCUGCAGGACUGUCUCUCUGGCGCCACACAUCCCACCCCGUCUCUCAAAGGUUUCUCCAACCUCCCUGCCACAUCUGUGUAUCACGUCGUGCCACGUUAAGAACCCAGAACCUCACAGUCUCUGCUCUGGCAGGUGCUGCCGCGUGACCUUGGACAAGGCCUCGCCACUCUGAGCUUAAUGAAUUGCCCAUGUUUAAUGGACUGUCACUAGAUUGCUAAGGACUCCCUCCUAUGCUCUCUGGUUUCACACUGUCUGCCGUGCUGGCCCUUCCAGAACAUCAAUGCGGCAAAGUCCAGUUUCCUCCCAGAAGAUGAGAAGAGGGAGCUUCUUGAUCUGCUCUAUAAAGCCUACGGGAUGCCACCUUUGGCCUCUGCAGGGCAGUGUCCCUGAAGACAUCGUGGCCACCUCUCAGAGUCCUCACCCUGUGGAUGGAGUCCUCACAACUCCCUUUACUCCUUCCAGGGAGACUAUGAUUUCCAGAGUCAGCUACUGACGCUCGUGAAGCCCACAUGCCUGUUUCUGUACACACAUAUACCUCCGCCUGGCCGUGUCUCUCCUCUGAUUGUGUGCCCGGGCCAGGAUCAGGGCCUGUGGCUGGUUGAAUCUGAAUCCCUCCCUCCUCUGGUAACCUGUGCUGAAAAUCUGGUGCUUAAUAAAGAAAACAACAGCUGGG